This 167-nucleotide microRNA precursor is filed under the name Cucumis sativus (cucumber). RNAcentral's name for it is "pre miRNA mir-399". It matches the Rfam family "mir-399 microRNA precursor family". From Rfam's summary of the family: mir-399 was identified in both Arabidopsis thaliana and Oryza sativa computationally and was later experimentally verified. mir-399 is thought to target mRNAs coding for a phosphatase transporter. The mature sequence is excised from the 3' arm of the hairpin. Lineage: Eukaryota; Viridiplantae; Streptophyta; Magnoliopsida; Cucurbitales; Cucurbitaceae. The record is from Rfam by way of RNAcentral.
GGUUGGAUUUCUGGGCAAUUACUCCAUUGGCAGUUGCCACCUUCCUUUUAAAACCCACACACACACAUAUAUAUAUUAUAUAUUAUGUGAUCACAAAAUCAUAUUGCCAAAAUUAAGGCAAUAACAAAAUCGCUACUGCCAAAGGAGAUUUGCCCGGUAAUGCUCCC